GACUGAGAAUUAUGAAACUACAUAUGCCUGAGAAACUUCCAGGAAUAUUUAUAUUAUCAUUUUUGGGAAAGGAGCUGGAAAAUCAUUUGAUAUAUUUAUUUUACAAGUUCUACACCAGAUGCCCAAGUAAAACCUACCUGAUUUCAGGAAGUGAUUGAUUUACAGAUUCUUAGUACAACAAGCAAAGCAUUUCAUUCUAUUAGCUGUUCUCCAUGCCUUUCCUUUUUCAUCAAGGUAAUAACCGUUUUACUCCACACCACCAAGACUGCCAUCACUGCUGGAUAUGAGAAACCCUAAGAUUAUGAUAAUAACCUUCAAGAAUGAUAGCUUAGGCACUAGGCCGAUGGUUCUCAACCUUACUAAGCUGCUACUCUUUAACAGUUUCUCAUAUUACAGUAACCCUCAAACAUAAAAGUAAUACUGUUGCGCCAUUAUAGCUGCCAUUUUGCAGCUGUCAUGAAUUGUAAUGUAAAUUCUUUUUGAGGUAAAGGUUUGCCAUAGGGGUUGUGACCCACAGGUUGAGAACCCCUGCACUGGAGAUGGCUCAGUGAGGAAAAGUGCUUGCUGCACUAGGAUGAGUACCUGAAUUCAAAUCCUAGCAUCCCUGUUAAAGGAUGGGUGUGGCCCCACACACAGAAGUAAGGGAGUCUCUGGGCUUCACUUGCUAACAGACAGGUUUAAGAAGAGACUGCCUCAAAGGAUUAAAGCCAAAAGUGUUAAAACAGGGCACUCAACAUUCUCUAAUGUGGAGCUCUACAUACAACUGACCUAUGCAUUUGUGUGUAUGUGUAGGGGAACUGGCACACUUGUGCACAUGCAUGCACACAUACAGUAAAUAU
This 839-nucleotide long non-coding RNA is filed under the name Mus musculus (house mouse). RNAcentral's name for it is "long non-coding RNA chr7:91647713-91648552". Lineage: Eukaryota; Metazoa; Chordata; Mammalia; Rodentia; Muridae. The record is from RNAcentral.